Molecule: ribosomal RNA, 485 nt
Filed under: uncultured Eubacteriales bacterium
Lineage: Bacteria; Bacillati; Bacillota; Clostridia; Eubacteriales
Description: bacterial SSU rRNA
Rfam family: Bacterial small subunit ribosomal RNA
Source: RNAcentral
GAAUUGACGGGGACCCGCACAAGCGGUGGAGCAUGUGGUUUAAUUCGAUGCAACGCGAAGAACCUUACCAGGUCUUGACAUCCCUCUGCAACACUUAGAGAUAAGUGCCUUCUUCGGAACAGAGGAGACAGGUGGUGCAUGGCUGUCGUCAGCUCGUGUCGUGAGAUGUUGGGUUAAGUCCCGCAACGAGCGCAACCCUUAUCUUUAGUAGCCAGCGGUAAGGCCGGGCACUCUAGAGAGACUGCCAGGGAUAACCUGGAGGAAGGCGGGGAUGACAUCAAAUCAUCAUGCCCCUUAUGACCUGGGCUACACACGUGCUACAAUGGUGACUACAAAGAGAGGCGAACCUGUGAAGGGGAGCGAAUCUCAAAAAAGUCAUCUCAGUUCGGAUUGUAGUCUGCAACUCGACUACAUGAAGCCGGAAUCGCUAGUAAUCGCGAAUCAGCAUGUCGCGGUGAAUACGUUCCCGGGUCUUGUACACACCG